Molecule: ribosomal RNA, 492 nt
Filed under: uncultured bacterium
Lineage: Bacteria
Description: partial 16S ribosomal RNA
Rfam family: Bacterial small subunit ribosomal RNA
Source: RNAcentral
AGUGAACGCUGGCGGUAGGCCUAACACAUGCAAGUCGAACGGCAGCACAGUAAGAGCUUGCUCUUACGGGUGGCGAGUGGCGGACGGGUGAGGAAUACAUCGGAAUCUACUUUUUCGUGGGGGAUAACGUAGGGAAACUUACGCUAAUACCGCAUACGACCUACGGGUGGAAGCAGGGGAUCUUCGGACCUUGCGCGAUUGAAUGAGCCGAUGUCGGAUUAGCUAGUUGGCGGGGUAAAGGCCCACCAAGGCGACGAUCCGUAGCUGGUCUGAGAGGAUGAGCAGCCACACUGGAAGUGAGACACGGUCAAGACUCCUACGGGAGGCAGCGGUGGGGAAUAUUGGACAAUGGGCGCAAGCCUGAUCCUGCCAUACCGCGUGGGUGAAGAAGGCCUUCGGGUUGUAAAGCCCUUUUGUUGGGAAAGAAAAGCAGCAGGUUAAUACCCCGCUGUUCUGACGGUACCCAAAGAAUAAGCACCGGCUAACUUCGUG